UACAGAGGUGGCAAGCGUUGUUCGGAUUUACUGGGCGUAAAGGGUGCGUAGGCGGUCCCGUGUGUCGGAUGUGAAAGCCCACGGAUCAUCCGUGGAACUGCAUUCGAAACUGCGGGGCUAGAGUGCCGGAGAGGAUGGCGGAAUUCUCGGUGUAGCGGUGAAAUGCGUUGAGAUCGAGAGGAACGCCGGUGGCGAAGGCGGCCAUCUGGACGGCAACUGACGCUGAGGCACGAAAGCUAGGGGAGCAAACAGG
RNAcentral lists this ribosomal RNA (253 nucleotides) under uncultured bacterium. Its description in RNAcentral is "partial 16S ribosomal RNA". It matches the Rfam family "Bacterial small subunit ribosomal RNA", at positions 524 to 776 of the family's 1533-position model. The record is from RNAcentral.